AAGUUCAUGUGCACCGCUUUGACAGCCCAGGGUUUCACCGAUUCGGAUCCUGGGCACAGACCUAGCAGUGCUCAUCAAGCCAUGCUGAGGUGGGGUCCCACACAGCACAACUAGAAGGACCUACAAUGAGGAUAUACAACUAGUUUAGGCCAGUUCGGGUGCAGAUUCCCGUUACUCAGAGCUGAAAGCAUCCUAACUCAUGCAAUGUCUCAGGAUUCCAGAAAUGGCUGAGGCCUGGAGCCGGUUGCUUGAGGCCCCAUGGAGAGUGGUUCCCUGAGCAGACAUUCAAAAGCACUCCAUCUGCAUCGUGCGAGCCCCCACAUUCAACUAGGAUGGAAUAUCGCAGUGUUGGCUUCCUGAGUGGCCGCUGAGCUGAGGGCCUGCAUGACAAACCCUGGAGACACAGGAUACUUGAUGUAACUCUGAGCAAGUAUAUCAGCAGCAAUCACUUUCCAGGAGUAACGAAAGCUGCCAUCUGAUGGUUACGCGCUGGGCCUCAAGCUAAGCUCUUUAUGUUCCCCACGUUGAAUCCUCACAGCGACUCUCUGAGAUGGGAUUAUACACAUCUUAGAAAUGAGGAAACUGUUUCACAGGGAAUAGCUCAGUCAUUGCCCCAGGUCACACAGCCAGGUGGUGGAGCACCUAGGAUUUGAACCCAAGAAUUCUGCCUUCCAAGUUCAUCGUAUCGUCUUUCCCUAUACUGUGAGGCAGCCUGAGUUUAGCUCCAAAACCAAAGCUUAUUACAACGAUGGAAAAGUGCUAGAGGGGUGGAGUAGACAAUGCAAUUUCCCCAUAGAAGUCAUGGAAUUUCUCUAACUACUUGGACGCCCUACAAGUGAGAUUGCAUAGUUCUGAAAGGAGGGGUCCCCUACUCUGCAGCCCUUGUCCACUGACGCGUCCUGUUAAUUAGAAGCCACACACAUGCCCGCGCGCGCGCACACAGCACCUAGCAUCUGAAACAGACUCAUGAAACACCAGCAGGUGGCUGACAGGAAGCCUAGGGUUUCAAAGGACAACACUCAGGUAGAUCGCAGUCAGCAGGGGAUGGCAGCCGGGAGGGCAAGGCUCCUCAAACCACAGAAGUUCCACAGCGCUGCUCACGCGUGUGGUCGGAGCCCUCUGCAAACACUGCACCUCAGCUACAGCAUCCCACCGCUGGAUGGAAGUCCUUCCCUUGUUUCGGUCGAGUUUGCCCUUCUGGUGCAGGCACCCCGUCUCCCGGCCUGAGAAUAAUGAAUUAGGCUGUGUGUGGUGUACCGGGAAGGGCAGUAAUUUUCCUGAGCAACAAGAACUGACGUUUUCCCAUGGCUAAUCAGAAAGGAACUAAGCACUAUAAUGUUAGUAAAUCCCUUCAGCUCCUGGGAUAAGAGCCAUUAUGUAAGCAUUACUUAUUAUCGCUGUUGGAAGGGAGAAAGGGCUAAG
This 1422-nucleotide long non-coding RNA is filed under the name Equus asinus (donkey). RNAcentral's name for it is "lncRNA (ENSEASG00005026362.1)". The record is from RNAcentral. Lineage: Eukaryota; Metazoa; Chordata; Mammalia; Perissodactyla; Equidae.